Molecule: long non-coding RNA, 1800 nt
Organism: Gasterosteus aculeatus aculeatus (three-spined stickleback)
Lineage: Eukaryota; Metazoa; Chordata; Actinopteri; Perciformes; Gasterosteidae
Source: Ensembl
AGAGCCUAAAGGUUAAAAGAUGGAGGGUGGAGGCUAGAAGAUGGAGGCUAGAGGGUGGAGGCUAGAGGGUGGAGGCUAGAGGCUGGAGGGUGGAGGCUAUAAGAUGGAGGCUAGAGGGUGGAGGCUAUAAGAUGGAGGCUAGAGGGUGGAGGCUAGAGGCUGGAUGGGGGCCUCCUGUGAAAGGAGACGAGUGUGUGGGAGCAGGAAAUUGGUUUUCCAGGCUAGAAUCUCCCCUUUGCUUUAGGAGGCGUUUGUUGCAUAGAUAUGCAACAUGGACACACGUCUGUCAGUGAAAAGAAUGUCGAAGCUUUUAAUGACUUUUAAACCCUCCCCCACCCUCAUAUCGAGUGUAACCUUUCCUCAGAGAAGAUCAUUUCUGAUGCAAUUGGUUCACAAGUAGUAUAUUCUUCCUCUCUUGAAAUGCACGAUAAUACUACCCAAGAGUGUUAAGACUGUGAAUAUCCUCCUAACUUAUUUGAUAUAUGGCAUGAACCCUUUCAAACUGCUUGAAACUGUCUACUGAGGUAUGUAAAUGAAUAACACUGAGCCCAUGAAAGCAUUGCAUUAUGAGAAAGGAAAGGAGUCAGGUGAGGAGGCGAGGGCAGCCUCCAGUCGCUUCCUCGCCCACACGCGUGUCUUUUCUUAUUUACACGCAAGUGAUGAGUGAUAUUAUUCCAAAUACUAAAAACAGUUUCCCUAAAGCCCCCCAGAACAAAAGGAGUUAGACAUGUUAACACUUUCAGGGAAACCAGCCCAGACCAAAAUUCAACUGUGUGUUUGGGGCGGGGGGGGGGGGGGGCACCUCUGCAUGUUAGACACAUAUCUGUGGCACCUCCUGAUGUAGGAAUGUCUCGCUGAGUGGCACUUUUCACCAAGCUGAGCAAAACCAAAAGCAAUGCCCCCCCCCCAACGCCCCCCCCCCCUCCCACACCCCCACCUUCAGCUGUAGUUACAAGCCGUGUGGUCUUAUCAUGUGUGCCUUUCUCACCCCUCAUCUCAACAUAGGGAACGUUUACACUUGGCAGGCCUGACUCAAACAUUCAGUCUAGAUUUCUUACACAAUGCUGUCGGGGUACUUGGGGUGGGGGGGGGGGGGGGUAGUAGAUGUAUAUGGAGAUAAAACAGGCGGCUAAAGAAACUGUGAUCUCAUUCUGUGGUACAAAACUGCAUGGACAGUAAUCUGAAAACCUCGUCCUCAUCAUCAUCAUCAUCAUCAUCCCUAGAUAAUGCAUCAGUGUGAAAGGCAAUAUUUUGGAACAAGUGAAAGUCUACAUAUUUGUAUUAAGAAGAAGCAGUGUUAUUGUUGUUGUAUUAAAUGCGUUUAAAAGACUUAAAAAAAAUCAAAAGUCUGUGAAAAAGACAAAAAAAAUCCACAGCCAAGGCCUGUCCUGCUAGCAUAUUUUUACAGAGAUGAGCUAUUUUUAUUGGUGAUUUUCUAGGCAUUAAUAUUGAAAUCCUUUUCAAAAAGUACAAAACUUCCAAAAUUACAAGCACUUCCUCAACAAUAGAUUGUGUGGUCUCUUGUACUUUGUAGAUGUGCUCGUCUUUACUACUGCAACGUUUGUAAAGUGGGACAGCCCUGCUGUGUGUCCUCGGGGUCUCAUGAUGUUUUAGUCAUUUUGUUUAGGAAGUAAAACACUGUAGAUGGGCCGAACUCGUGACUGUGUGUUUGUGUACUUGUGUACAUGUUCCCCUGUUCCUGUGUCAGUGUUAUAAAGCAGAGAAGUGAUGUCAGUUAUUGUUGGAUGAACCAUUUUAAAUGUUCUCUAUGAAAAACGCAAAUAAAGAAUCAUAGACACG